Non-coding RNA from Streptomyces rubellomurinus, 69 nucleotides. It matches the Rfam family "ASpks TB sRNA". NCBI's taxonomy places the organism in Bacteria, Bacillati, Actinomycetota, Actinomycetes, Kitasatosporales, Streptomycetaceae. The record is from Rfam.
CUUCAACGAGCCCAGCCACAGCGGCUGCUCGCGCUCCUGCCCGUAGGUCGCCAGCAGGGCCUGGGCCUC